AAACCAAAACUAAAGAUGGUGGCUAGAGCAGCAGCAGCAGCAAAGAAGAAGCAGGGGCAGCAGAAGCAAGAGGAACAUCAACAAGUGCAGAAGCAGAUCAUCUUGCUUAACAAAGGAAAAACUGGCAAGUUCAAGAGAAGCACUUCCAAUCUUGAAGAAGAUGGCAUUUCUUCUGCUAUGCUUUUGCUUGCUUGCAUUGCCUGCACACCCCAAAAGGUCUAAAACAUUUGGGGGCCUAGUCAUGUUUAAAGACGAGAUUUUGAUCCUUUAAUCUUGUACUCCUUUUAUAGGAUCAUCUACAAUAUUAUUAGUUUUGAAGUAACCAACUACCUAGAUUGAUAAUAUAGAGUCUGUAUCUUCUAUUAUUUCUUUGUAACUAGUAAAACAAUAAAGUACCAUUAGAUAUAAUUACCUAUUUACCAUGAUCACCAUUUGUCUCCCCAUAAUUUGCAUAUCCCCUUUUUGUUAUCUAAUGCGCUUCCACUAAAAAAAAAAAUUAAGUUCAAACUUUACAACAUGGUAACCUUUGCAACUGCUGUCUAUAUUCAGAAACUCCCUUUACGUACAUAAUAAACUUCAUUUGUACACUCCCUUUUACUUACUCUUUUUUUUUAUUUUUUUAUUUUCUGGUUGGGGGGGGGGGGGGGGUGGGGUGGCGAGGGAAGUAACGUCCACAUGGAGUAUCAAAUUUUAAGCUAUUUGGAGUAGAGAAGCAAAAGUUAAAGGAUUAAUAUUUUCUACGCUGACAGUGUGUCAGCGUUAAAUGAAUGACAACUAUGCAAAAUUUGAAUUUAAAAUUCAACUUUUGCACAUGUGUCAUGUAUCAAACGAUGAUAGUAUAUACACUGUCAGUGUAUAUAAGAUUUACUCAAAGUUAAAUAGCUUUUGAAGAGCACAUAAACAGUAGCUUCCUUGGAAUCAAGUUAUUCUGAAUUGCAGAGGGUAUAUUUUGCAAUUCUGUUCAAUGAAUUUGAUUAAACUACCACCGAUAAUUGGACUUAAUUGCUAUACAUUACAUUUCCUUGCAGGAGAACAUUAAUUUGCUAGAAAGCAGAGGGACCGGUUAGAUAUAUAUUAUCUGGUUCCUAAAUCAGCAAAUUGAUAGCUCCAGUCACUCUAAAAGCCGUUAAUAAUAAUAAUAAUAAUAAUAGGGGGGCAUUUGCUAAUUCGUUAGAGUCUAAAUUGUUUUAAAAAGAUAUUUCAAAGCUCAAAAAAAGAAAUGACAUUCCGUGAAGGAACAAACAGAAGUGAUACGUCUCAAUGACAUUUGCUAAUGAGUAAUCCUUAAAAUUAUUUAUAAAACGACUGAUAACAACAAAAUCCAUGUAAACGGAAGAAAUUAACUUCAAUUUCAAGGGAACCAAGUCAAUUGAGUUCUUGGUUGGUAUUUUAUGGGGAUUGACUGAUAUUGCACUCUUUUCCUCCCAAAAGGGCAUUGGUACAAUACAAACAACCAGAUCAAAGCAAACAAUUACCUGUGCUUGAAAAAAAGUGAAAAUGCCCAGAUGCAAAAGUACAAAUCUGGGGAACAUUUGCGCCCAGUUCUCUAAUUUGGUGUCAUCCACAAUCCACAUGCCUCGAAAUUGUAUUCACAUGGGGUUUCCUACCCAUUCUGUUGGCGACCAAGUGACCAAGGUUCAUGCACUCAACUUACUUUUGGAAGCGUAGGAAAUAGGACUUGUCCUAGUCGCUUGGCCCAGUCGUACUUAGAUUUUUCAUUUUCUG
This 1725-nucleotide long non-coding RNA is filed under the name Coffea arabica (coffee). RNAcentral's name for it is "long non-coding RNA (CARA_LNC002783)". The record is from RNAcentral. Lineage: Eukaryota; Viridiplantae; Streptophyta; Magnoliopsida; Gentianales; Rubiaceae.